AUACGUAGGGGGCAAGCGUUAUCCGGGAUUUACUGGGGUGUAAAGGGAGCGUAGACGGUUCUGCAAGUCUGGAGUGAAAGCCCGGGGCUCAACCCCGGGACUGCUUUGGAAAUUGUGGAACUAGAGUGCAGGAGAGGUAAGUGGUAUUCCUAGUGUAGCGGUAGAAAUGCGUAGAUAUUAGGAGGAACACCAGUGGCGAAGGCGGCUUACUGGACUGUAACUGACGUUGAGGCUCGAAAGCGUGGGGAGC
This 250-nucleotide ribosomal RNA is filed under the name uncultured bacterium. Its description in RNAcentral is "partial 16S ribosomal RNA". It matches the Rfam family "Bacterial small subunit ribosomal RNA", at positions 523 to 769 of the family's 1533-position model. The record is from RNAcentral.